RNAcentral lists this ribosomal RNA (465 nucleotides) under uncultured bacterium. RNAcentral describes it as "partial 16S ribosomal RNA". It matches the Rfam family "Bacterial small subunit ribosomal RNA", at positions 28 to 507 of the family's 1533-position model. The record is from RNAcentral.
GACGAACGCUGGCGGCGUGCUUAACACAUGCAAGUCGAACGGAAAGGCCCUGCUUGCAGGGUACUCGAGUGGCGAACGGGUGAGUAACACGUGGGUGAUCUGCCCUGCACUUCGGGAUAAGCCUGGGAAACUGGGUCUAAUACCGGAUAGGAGCCAUUUUUAGUGUGAUGGUUGGAAAGUUUUUUCGGUGUAUGAUGAGCUCGCGGCCUAUCAGCUUGUUGGUGGGGUAAUGGCCUACCAAGGCGGCGACGGGUAGCCGGCCUGAGAGGGUGGACGGCCACAUUGGGACUGAGAUACGGCCCAGACUCCUACGGGAGGCAGCAGUGGGGAAUAUUGCACAAUGGGCGCAAGCCUGAUGCAGCGACGCCGCGUGGGGGAUGACGGCCUUCGGGUUGUAAACUCCUUUCGCUAGGGACGAAGCUUUUUGUGACGGUACCUAGAUAAGAAGCACCGGCUAACUACGUG